Molecule: ribosomal RNA, 274 nt
Filed under: uncultured prokaryote
Description: partial 16S ribosomal RNA
Rfam family: Bacterial small subunit ribosomal RNA
Source: RNAcentral
CACGUAGGGGGCGAGCGUUGUCCGGAAUUAUUGGGCGUAAAGGGUUCGUAGGCGGUAAUACAUGUCAGAUGUGAAAUCUUGUGGCUUAACCACAUCAAGCAUCUGAAACUGUAUAACUUGAGUGGAGGAGAGGUAAGUGGAAUUCCUAGUGUAGCGGUGAAAUGCGUAGAUAUUAGGAAGAAUACCAGUAGCGAAGGCGACUUACUGGCCUCUAACUGACGCUGAUGAACGAAAGCGUGGGUAGCAAACAGGAUUAGAUACCCCGGUAGUCCCU